UACUAAAAACUAUUCAAUAUAUUUUUAGAAGAAUCUAAACUUUAGACACUAUAAAGAUAUUAAAAUUUUGAUUAAUACAUAGAAGGAAAAAUAUGGGCAAAUUUCUCAAAUUUAUUUAUCUUAUAAUUCUAUUUUAUUUCGUAUUUAUUGUUGCAAGAGAAGUUGGUGCGCUUGUUAACGAAUGUGAUGAUGAUGACGAUUGUCCCAAAACAUUACUUCUAGAAUAUUUUGUUAUGAAGUGCAUUAAUUACAAAUGUAUUGUUGUUGACUCUGAAGAUCCUUCCAAAACAAAAUGACUCUGAAGAACUUGAUGCAGGAUUAUGAAUAUAUUAUACUAGUGCCAUGAAUGUUUGAUGAGAUGUUAUUUAAUUAUAAUGUAAAUACUAAAUACAAUUUGCAACAUAUAUGCAAUUUGUUAUUAUGGCUUUGUACUUUAAUAUAUUUGUAAUGAAAAAAAAAAAAAAUACUAAAGACUAUCACCUGGGCAAAUUACCACCGGUUUCAUAAUUUUCUAUCAAGAAAAUAUUUGACAUAAUAA
Long non-coding RNA from Vicia villosa (hairy vetch), 538 nucleotides. RefSeq lists it as uncharacterized. The transcript has 2 exons. NCBI's taxonomy places the organism in Eukaryota, Viridiplantae, Streptophyta, Magnoliopsida, Fabales, Fabaceae. The record is from RefSeq and is a predicted model, not a curated record.